Molecule: ribosomal RNA, 257 nt
Filed under: uncultured bacterium
Lineage: Bacteria
Description: partial 16S ribosomal RNA
Rfam family: Bacterial small subunit ribosomal RNA
Source: RNAcentral
CCUACGGGGCGCAGCAGUAGGGAAUCUUCCACAAUGGACGAAAGUCUGAUGGAGCAACGCCGCGUGAGUGAAGAAGGGUUUCGGCUCGUAAAGCUCUGUUGGUAGUGAAGAAAGAUAGAGGUAGUAACUGGCCUUUAUUUGACGGUAAUUACUUAGAAAGUCACGGCUAACUACGUGCCAGCAGCCGCGGUAGUACGUAGGUGGCGAGCGUUGUCCGGAUUUAUUGGGCGGAAAGCGAGUGUAGGCGGUUCAAUAAG